AGUACCCAGGUCAGGUAGCUGGAUCGCACUUCUUCCCAAUCCAUCAAUCGUGUUCUCGCGAGCCAGAGGCCAGAGCCAUGGAGAAGAGCCGGGUGCUGGUGGUGGGCGGCACCGGGUACAUCGGGCGGCGGCUCGUGAGGGCGAGCCUGGCGCAAGGGCACCCGACGCUAGUCCUGCUGGAGUUAUUUGAGAUUGUAAUAAUCUCGUCGCGCGGCUUCGCCCCUUUGGUACUCCGCAGCCGCGCAUCGCCAGUAUGGUAUUCUCGACCUCACAUCCUUGCCAGAUAGGGACAGUUAUUCCCCCGUCCUCUGUUACCUUCGAUUAGCUAAGGUAAAAGUCAAAAAUGUCCCUGCUGUUUACAGAGUCGAGCCCGGUGAAAACCUAACUUCCUCCUCUCUUCUUCCACGGGGCUCUCCUUUGGCGCCGCCACUCAUUCCUCCAAUGGCUACUCCGGCAAGAGGCAAGAAACGGCUCGUCGUCGACGUCGAUCUCGAGCUCGACAGUGAGGUCGAAGUGGCCUCCGCCUUCAGCCGACUGUCUGUUUCAGUCGUUGCCAAGCGUACAGGCGAGAGUUCUACAGGCGACGGUUGCGGCUUCGAGCACUCCACCGGCAAGCAGCGCACCUCCAGCAAGGAGUGGACCAGCGGCAAUGAACUCACCUGCGCGGCCACAUCAGGUACCUGUUUUUGUGGGGCUAACUGCCCAACGUUGGAUGUGAAGCUGUUGACGUUGGUUGUGCAGGUGAGUUCCUUGCCGCUUCUCUAGCUUCGUGGGGUUAACUGCCCAACGUUGGAUGUUGCGCACGAAGCUAGAGGGAUGUGAAGCUGUUGACGUUGGGCAGUGAUAUUUGUAGAGUUCUGUAUUUUGAAACUGUUUUUAUCCAAACUGUCUAGUGACCAUUAGUGCUAGAAGCAGAGAGUGGCUUUAAUUGUUAACUGUUUUCUGUCGAACAGAGCUCACAGCCGGCGUCAAUCACUGCUCGGCACCUCGUUCAGUGUCGGUAAGGGUUGAACUAAGUUCAAUAAUAUGCAGUACUAUGUUCAAAUCCAAUAGCAAUUUUUGUGGUUUCGCAGAUUACCCGAUUUGAAACAGUUCGUAGUGACCUCGCCCAAGCCAUUACAAAGAUGCGUGUAGUUGGGAAGGAGUUGAAAGAUUUGGCUGGAGACGAGAUUAUGAAUUCGCCAGAUACGGCCAAAGAUGUGUCAUCUACAAAGUGCUCCAUUCCAAUUUAUCGCAGUUGUUGCGCUAUAAUGACCACUAGGCCAUGCUGGCACGGUUUCCCUGUGUGCUGCCAUUCUAGACAUGAACAGUAUCUCUGUUCAGCUUUGACAACGUGUCUGCUGUGAAUGUUGUUAUUAUCACGGAUCUCAGCAUGAUAGUAGUCACCUUUUUGUAUAGAUAAAUGACCCAACCCCCGGGUUCUAGCCUUCAACAAAUUGAUGACUAUGGGAAGGAUUGUACCACCCAAUUUGUCGCCGAUCCUUUUCCUUCUAAAAAAGAGAUCCAUAACCAAACAUCUGAUUUUGUCCGCAAGUUCACAAACUGGUAGGUCUUUGUAGUCUUUAAUCCAGUUGUUAAAUACCUCAGCAAUGUUGUUGGUUAUGUAGUCACACUUUAUAGCCGUGUUGAAACCACAUCUGUACCAUAAAAGAGGGUGCCACUCAUCGAUCCAUUGCUUCACACCCGGUAUAUCUCUGGCUUUACUGAAGUGGUGCUCGAAAAUGGUGUUCCUAUAUGCUCUAGCCGCGGGAUACAUGUGCUCAGAUCCAGUGAAGUGCUUAACAUAGUUCUGCAUCAGGUGGCGGAAGCAUUCUCUUUUUUCAGCAUUUGGAAAUACAUCGUUCACUGCUGAUGUCAGUCCUUUGCAUGCAUCAGAGCAAAUGGCUAAAACAGGAGGGUUGCCUAAGGCCUUUCGAAGUUGUUGCAUGAACCAAAUCCAACUAUCUUUUGUCUCUGACUCGAAGAAACCAAAAGCCACUGGAAACAUCCAAUUAUGACCAUCAACACUUGUUGAUGAGGGAAGGUGACCAUUCCAACGACCAUUUAGAGCUGUGGAAUCCACACUUAAGUAGGGCCUGCAUCCUUCACGAAACCCUUGAAGACAAGGGCCAAAAGCACAAAAGAAUCUGCUGAAAUAUAAUUUCCCAUCAUCAACUACUAGAUCAAACUCAAUGACUGAGUCUGGCAUAACCUCCAAAACAGCUUCUCUCCAUCUAAAUAGUAAUUUGAAGCUGUCCUCCCAUGUUCCAUACAACUCUCUAAGGGCCUUCUCUUUACCUUUCCACACUGUAUCAUACGAAAUUGUGCAAUUGUGCUGCUCUUGCAAGGUAUUUUGCAAUUCUUUAGCUCCCAUAUGUGGUUUCUUCGUAAGGAAUGGCAUUGCUAGGGAAGCAACCCAUGAGCUGGUGGGUGUUGUUGUUUUUCGACGACCACUAGAAGUGCAUGUGUGCUUAUCCACGAUAACUGUAACCUGCAAACAAUAUAAAAUUCAUUGUGAGCUUCCCAAAUUUCAUUUAGGAUCCAAAGUACAAACAAUGUGUGAUACAACAAUACUCACAACGACUGUGGGAGACCCGGCAUUUUGUAGCCUUGCAUUGAUUCUCCAUGGACAAUCACCUCCUUUGCAAUAAGCUCGAUAUCUGAAUGGUGAGCUUGACUCAAUCCCUAACUCAAACUCAUUAUUAAUUGCAUAUUGCCUGAUAGCCAGUCUAAAUUCUUUCAUAUCCUUGUACAAACUCCCAAUCUUCAUUACUGGAUUAGAUCUAUUGCACUCAAAUACCCUUUCUUGUGGUAUGCAAUCAGUGCAGGGCAAUUCAUCAUUAAAUUCAUCGCUUUGGCGGACAGUCUCUUGCCUUUCAGUAGUUUCACGUUCAUCUUCAGCUAACAAUCCUAACCGAUCAUACAUCACUGACUCAGAGGCAGUCUCUUGUUCUCCUUCUUCCUCCCAUCUAUCAUCAAUUUGUAUUGCCCCCCAAUCAAUUUCUAAUACCUGCAAACAUCCAAUUAAGAGAGCUAUGAAGUACUCGGCUAAGAUGCAUCAAAAACUAAACUGCUGGACAAUAUUUCUAUCAAACCUCCAUUCUCUGUUCAUCCCCUAACAGAAAAUCUUGGGGAUCAGACAAAUCCGAGCUCCUAACAGGUAGAUCCACUCUUUCCACAGGGGAAACCAUGGGGAUGCAAGGAGGUGGCGACGACAGCUGUCCGGUGGCAGGGGGUGGGGCGGAAAUCUGGCUGCUGGCAAAAAAUGGCGCGGACAUCUCACUGGUAGACGGCAGCGCGCGCAUAUGGAAGCAGGAUAACGGAGGAUUGCGCGAGCACCUGGUGGCGAGUGCCCCUGCUGGCAGACGGCAGCGCUCGCAGAUGGAAGCUGGGGAAUGGAGGUGAGCACCUGGUGGCGAGCAGUCGAGUCCCCAAGCUGGCAGACGGCGGCGCGCGUUAGUCCGGCUGCCAACCGAGCGCAAGAAACCCGUAGGGGUAUGUUAGUCCGAAGGGGAACACAACCGGCAUUAAGAUUUGCAAAACAUACGUUAACAGAGGGCGGGGGAUUAAAUGUCCCAAACUGGCGAGGCUGUGAGCUCCAUAAUACCAUACUGGCGAUGCGCGGCUGCGGAGUACCAAAGGGGCGAAGCCGCGCGACGAGAUUAUUACAAUCUCAAAUAACUCAGUCCUGCUGCGGCCGGAGAUCGGCCUGGACAUCGACAAGCUCCAGAUGUUGCUCUCCUUCAAGGCCCAGGGCGCGCGGCUGGUGGAGGCGUCGCUGGAGGACCACGCGGGCCUCGUCGCCG
This 3785-nucleotide long non-coding RNA is filed under the name Zea mays. RNAcentral's name for it is "long non-coding RNA (ZMAY_LNC001801)". The record is from RNAcentral. Lineage: Eukaryota; Viridiplantae; Streptophyta; Magnoliopsida; Poales; Poaceae.